GACGAACGCUGGCGGCGUGCUUAACACAUGCAAGUCGUACGGUAAGGCCCUUUCGGGGGUACACGAGUGGCGAACGGGUGCGUAACACGUGAGUAACCUGCCCACAACUUUGGGAUAACGCUAGGAAACUGGUGCCAAUACUGGAUAUGUGCUCCUGCUGCAUGGUGGGGGUUGGAAAGCUCCGGCGGUUGUGGAUGGACUCGCGGCCUAUCAGCUUGUUGGUGGGGUAGUGGCCUACCAAGGCGGCGACGGGUAGCCGGCCUGAGAGGGUGACCGGCCACAUUGGGACUGAGAUACGGCCCAGACUCCUACGGGAGGCAGCAGUGGGGAAUAUUGCACAAUGGGCGCAAGCCUGAUGCAGCAACGCCGCGUGCGGGAUGACGGCCUUCGGGUUGUAAACCGCUUUCAGCAGGGACGAAGCUUUUUGUGACGGUACCUGCAGAAGAAGCACCGGCUAACUACGUG
Molecule: ribosomal RNA, 465 nt
Filed under: uncultured bacterium
Lineage: Bacteria
Description: partial 16S ribosomal RNA
Rfam family: Bacterial small subunit ribosomal RNA
Source: RNAcentral